This 273-nucleotide ribosomal RNA is filed under the name uncultured bacterium. RNAcentral's name for it is "partial 16S ribosomal RNA". It matches the Rfam family "Bacterial small subunit ribosomal RNA", at positions 524 to 796 of the family's 1533-position model. The record is from RNAcentral.
UACGAAGGGUGCAAGCGUUAAUCGGAAUUACUGGGCGUAAAGCGUGCGUAGGCGGUUUGUUAAGUCCGAUGUGAAAGCCCUGGGCUCAACCUGGGAAUGGCACUGGAUACUGGCGAGCUAGAGUAAGGUAGAGGGUGGCGGAAUUCCCGGUGUAGCGGUGAAAUGCGUAGAGAUCGGGAGGAACAUCCGUGGCGAAGGCGGCCACCUGGACCAUUACUGACGCUGAGGCACGAAAGCGUGGGGAGCAAACAGGAUUAGAAACCCCAGUAGUCC